CACCAAGGCGACGAUGGGUAGUUGGUCUGAGAGGAUGAUCAGCCACACUGGAACUGAAACACGGUCCAGACUCCUACGGGAGGCAGCAGUGGGGAAUAUUGCGCAAUGGGGGAAACCCUGACGCAGCGACGCCGUGUGAGGGAAGAAGGCCUUCGGGUCGUAAACCUCUGUCAGAAGGGAAGAACCGCCGGGGGGCGAACACCCCCUCGGCCUGACGGUACCUUCAGAGGAAGCGCCGGCUAACUCCGUGCCAGCAGCCGCGGUAAUACGGAGGGCGCGAGCGUUAAUCGGAAUCACUGGGCGUAAAGGGCGCGUAGGCGGCCGAUCAAGUCAGAGGUGAAAGCCCUCGGCUCAACCGAGGAAUUGCCUUUGAUACUGGUCGGCUGGAGUGCAGGAGAGGGUGGCGGAAUUCCCGGUGUAGGGGUGAAAUCCGUAGAGAUCGGGAGGAACACCAGUGGCGAAGGCGGCCACCUGGACUGCAACUGACGCUGAGGCGCGAAAGCAUGGGGAGCAAACAGGAUUAGAUACCCUGGUAGUCCAUGCCCUAAACGAUGGACGCUAGGUGUCGGGGGGUCACCCUCGGCGCCGGAGCUAACGCAUUAAGCGU
RNAcentral lists this ribosomal RNA (607 nucleotides) under uncultured bacterium. Its description in RNAcentral is "bacterial SSU rRNA". It matches the Rfam family "Bacterial small subunit ribosomal RNA", at positions 266 to 867 of the family's 1533-position model. The record is from RNAcentral.